AGUGAACGCUGGCGGUAGGCCUAACACAUGCAAGUCGAACGGCAGCACAGAGGAGCUUGCUCCUUGGGUGGCGAGUGGCGGACGGGUGAGGAAUACAUCGGAAUCUACUCUGUCGUGGGGGAAAACGUAGGGAAACUUACGCUAAUACCGCAUAAGACCUAUGGGUGAAAGCAGGGGACCUUGGGGCCUUGCGCGAUUGAAUGAGCCGAUGUCGGAUUAGCUAGUUGGCGGGGUAAAGGCGCACCAAGGCGACGAUCCGUAGCUGGUCUGAGAGGAUGAUCAGCCACACUGGAACCGAGACACGGUCCAGACUCCUACGGGAGGCAGCAGUGGGGAAUAUUGGGCAAUGGGCGCAAGCCUGAUCCAGCCAUACCGCGUGGGUGAAGAAGGCCUUCGGGUUGUAAAGCCCUUUUGUUGGGAAAGAAAUCCAGCUGGCUAAUACCCGGUUGGGAUGACGGUACCCAAAGAAUAAGCACCGGCUAACUUCGUGCCAGCCGCCGCAGUAA
This 506-nucleotide ribosomal RNA is filed under the name uncultured bacterium. RNAcentral describes it as "partial 16S ribosomal RNA". It matches the Rfam family "Bacterial small subunit ribosomal RNA", at positions 29 to 523 of the family's 1533-position model. The record is from RNAcentral.